ACUCUAAGCGGUGGAUCACUCGGCUCAUGGGUCGAUGAAGAACGCAGCAAACUGUGCGUCAUCGUGUGAACUGCAGGACACAUGAACAUCGACAUUUUGAACGCAUAUCGCAGUCCAUGCUGUUAUGUACUUUAAUUAAUUUUAUAGUGCUGCUUGGACUACAUAUGGUUGAGGGUUGUAAGACUAUGCUAAUUAAGUUGCUUAUAAAUUUUUAUAAGCAUAUGGUAUAUUAUUGGAUAAAUAUAAUAAUUUUUAUUCAUAAUAUUAAAAAAUAAAUGAAAAACAUUAUCUCACAUUUGAAUGUGAAAAACGAAGAGAAAUAUUUUCUUUUUCAAUCAAAUAAUACUGAGAAAUGUCUAGCAUAAAAAAUUGAAAUAUUUUUCAUCUAGAAUUGUCUCUUAUUAAUGAUUCGGAAAUAGAAAAAUCUUGGUUAUGUUAUUAUUCUUCGUUGGUUCGUUAAAAAUGGAUAAAUAAAAACUUUGCAUACAAGAAUUAAUAAAAAUGUUAUAACGAAUUUAAUUAAAUGUUUUAUCAUUAUAUAUAAAGAAUUUAUGGCAAGAUAAAGUUAUAUACAACCUCAACUCAUAUGGGACUACCCCCUGAAUUUAAGCAUAUUAAUUAGGGGAGGAAAAGAAACUAACAAGGAUUUUCUUAGUAGCGGCGAGCGAAAAGAAAACAGUUCAGCACUAAGUCACUUUGUCUAUAUGGCAAAUGUGAGAUGCAGUGUAUGGAGCGUCAAUAUUCUAGUAUGAGAAAUUAACGAUUUAAGUCCUUCUUAAAUGAGGCCAUUUACCCAUAGAGGGUGCCAGGCCCGUAUAACGUUAAUGAUUACUAGAUGAUGUUUCCAAAGAGUCGUGUUGCUUGAUAGUGCAGCACUAAGUGGGUGGUAAACUCCAUCUAAAACUAAAUAUAACCAUGAGACCGAUAGUAAACAAGUACCGUGAGGGAAAGUUGAAAAGAACUCUGAAUAGAGAGUUAAACAGUACGUGAAACUGCUUAGAGGUUAAGCCCGAUGAACCUGAAUAUCCGUUAUGGAAAAUUCAUCAUUAAAAUUGUAAUAUUUAAAUAAUAUUAUGAGAAUAGUGUGCAUUUUUUCCAUAUAAGGACAUUGUAAUCUAUUAGCAUAUACCAAAUUUAUCAUAAAAUAUAACUUAUAGUUUAUUCCAAUUAAAUUGCUUGCAUUUUAACACAGAAUAAAUGUUAUUAAUUUGAUAAAGUGCUGAUAGAUUUAUAUGAUUACAGUGCGUUAAUUUUUCGGAAUUAUAUAAUGGCAUAAUUAUCAUUGAUUUUUGUGUUUAUUAUAUGCACUUGUAUGAUUAACAAUGCGAAAGAUUCAGGAUACCUUCGGGACCCGUCUUGAAACACGGACCAAGGAGUCUAACAUAUGUGCAAGUUAUUGGGAUAUAAACCUAAUAGCGUAAUUAACUUGACUAAUAAUGGGAUUAGUUUUUUAGCUAUUUAUAGCUAAUUAACACAAUCCCGGGGCGUUCUAUAUAGUUAUGUAUAAUGUAUAUUUAUAUUAUUUAUGCCUCUAACUGGAACGUACCUUGAGCAUAUAUGCUGUGACCCGAAAGAUGGUGAACUAUACUUGAUCAGGUUGAAGUCAGGGGAAACCCUGAUGGAAGACCGAAACAGUUCUGACGUGCAAAUCGAUUGUCAGAAUUGAGUAUAGGGGCGAAAGACCAAUCGAACCAUCUAGUAGCUGGUUCCUUCCGAAGUUUCCCUCAGGAUAGCUGGUGCAUUUUAAUAUUAUAUAAAAUAAUCUUAUCUGGUAAAGCGAAUGAUUAGAGGCCUUAGGGUCGAAACGAUCUUAACCUAUUCUCAAACUUUAAAUGGGUAAGAACCUUAACUUUCUUGAUAUGAAGUUCAAGGUUAUGAUAUAAUGUGCCCAGUGGGCCACUUUUGGUAAGCAGAACUGGCGCUGUGGGAUGAACCAAACGUAAUGUUACGGUGCCCAAAUUAACAACUCAUGCAGAUACCAUGAAAGGCGUUGGUUGCUUAAAACAGCAGGACGGUGAUCAUGGAAGUCGAAAUCCGCUAAGGAGUGUGUAACAACUCACCUGCCGAAGCAACUAGCCCUUAAAAUGGAUGGCGCUUAAGUUGUAUACCUAUACAUUACCGCUAAAGUAGAUGAUUUAUAUUACUUGUGAUAUAAAUUUUGAAACUUUAGUGAGUAGGAAGGUACAAUGGUAUGCGUAGAAGUGUUUGGCGUAAGCCUGCAUGGAGCUGCCAUUGGUACAGAUCUUGGUGGUAGUAGCAAAUAAUCGAAUGAGACCUUGGAGGACUGAAGUGGAGAAGGGUUUCGUGUGAACAGUGGUUGAUCACGAGUUAGUCGGUCCUAAGUUCAAGGCGAAAGCCGAAAAUUUUCAAGUAAAACAAAAAUGCCUAACUAUAUAAACAAAGCGAAUUAUAAUACACUUGAAUAAUUUUGAACGAAAGGGAAUACGGUUCCAAUUCCGUAACCUGUUGAGUAUCCGUUUGUUAUUAAAUAUGGGCCUCGUGCUCAUCCUGGCAACAGGAACGACCAUAAAGAAGCCGUCGAGAGAUAUCGGAAGAGUUUUCUUUUCUGUUUUAUAGCCGUACUACCAUGGAAGUCUUUCGCAGAGAGAUAUGGUAGAUGGGCUAGAAGAGCAUGACAUAUACUGUUGUGUCGAUAUUUUCUCCUCGGACCUUGAAAAUUUAUGGUGGGGACACGCAAACUUCUCAACAGGCCGUACCAAUAUCCGCAGCUGGUCUCCAAGGUGAAGAGUCUCUAGUCGAUAGAAUAAUGUAGGUAAGGGAAGUCGGCAAAUUAGAUCCGUAACUUCGGGAUAAGGAUUGGCUCUGAAGAUUGAGAUAGUCGGGCUUGAUUGGGAAACAAUAACAUGGUUUAUGUGCUCGUUCUGGGUAAAUAGAGUUUCUAGCAUUUAUGUUAGUUACUUGUUCCCCGGAUAGUUUAGUUACGUAGCCAAUUGUGGAACUUUCUUGCUAAAAUUUUUAAGAAUACUAUUUGGGUUAAACCAAUUAGUUCUUAUUAAUUAUAACGAUUAUCAAUUAACAAUCAAUUCAGAACUGGCACGGACUUGGGGAAUCCGA
RNAcentral lists this ribosomal RNA (3075 nucleotides) under Drosophila melanogaster (fruit fly). RNAcentral describes it as "eukaryotic LSU rRNA". The stretch from base 573 to 3075 matches the Rfam family "Eukaryotic large subunit ribosomal RNA", at positions 1 to 2137 of the family's 3401-position model. Lineage: Eukaryota; Metazoa; Arthropoda; Insecta; Diptera; Drosophilidae. The record is from RNAcentral.